CCACGAGCCGAAUUCGGAUUCUAACGGGUUCUAAUGAAAAAUGCAGGAGGAUCGGGGUCCAGUUCUCAGAAGAGGGGGCUGGGCUGCGCUGGGCUGGGCUGGUGUCUGGCUAACACAGAGGCUGAGGGAGGGAUGCGCUGGAAUGAACAUGUGGAGCGAGAAGAAGCCCAGACCAGUUAAUUGGUCUUCUGGCUAAUCACUGGGCGGAUUUCUGUCAUCCCUCUGAAUGUAAUCUAUCUGGAAAAUACUUCCUAUCUGGCUCCCAAACCACAGCAAGACCCAGCUGAAUAAUUGACCAAGACACUGCAGGUCUCAGAGAUUCAGCAGGAAUGCAGAUCAGCAAAUACAUCUUCUUAUUUAGUGACUUGGUAAAACUGAUGUUCCCUUGCUCAGAAAUGGUUAUAUUUUACAACCAACUUUUGUUAAUUGACUACUAUGAACACCCUUGUUAAAAUAUAAAUUGGCGUCAGAAACCUCGUGUACAGUUAGUCCUUGGGACCUCUGCCAAAUACAUCAGGUAGGUCCACGGAAUCCGAAAACCUCACAAGAUUCAACCAAAUCUGGCGAGCAUGGACUGUGCUUAAAUAGUGACGAGUACCAAACACCUGCGAAUAUUUAACCAAGAGGACUUGAUGUUGUCCAGCACCAGAGAAGAAGUGGCUCCUUAUGGAUGCCUCAGCGAGGCUGAUGUCACAGGUGGGUCCCGUUUC
RNAcentral lists this long non-coding RNA (710 nucleotides) under Equus caballus (horse). RNAcentral describes it as "lncRNA (ENSECAG00000050115.1)". The record is from RNAcentral. Lineage: Eukaryota; Metazoa; Chordata; Mammalia; Perissodactyla; Equidae.